Molecule: non-coding RNA, 269 nt
Organism: Pelobates cultripes (western spadefoot toad)
Lineage: Eukaryota; Metazoa; Chordata; Amphibia; Anura; Pelobatidae
Source: the annotation of a GenBank genome assembly
CUUCUUCAGGCUCUUACCAGGGUAAUAUGUGUGGAAUACAUUUAAUAAACAGACAGGGGCAUUAACACACAGCACACGAAAUAACAAAGCAUUUGGAAGAAACCUGUCCCAAUGACUUUCAAGAAGUAAAAUAAGAUUUCAGCACAAGCUGUUUCCAAAUGGCUUCGACUCAGACUUUCAAUGUUCGAUUCCCCAAAACCUGUCUUUAUAUUGAGUAAACACGAGUCUUAAUCUGCAACCAUGGGAACUUUAUAAGUAAACUCAGUCUG